GACAGAUUUUAAAUGUCCCUAUCCCCCAAUUAAACUAGACUGGGGGAAAGCGGGUAGGGACAUUUAAAAUUUGUU
RNAcentral lists this microRNA precursor (75 nucleotides) under Chlorocebus sabaeus (green monkey). RNAcentral describes it as "miRNA (ENSCSAG00000024699.1)". Lineage: Eukaryota; Metazoa; Chordata; Mammalia; Primates; Cercopithecidae. The record is from RNAcentral.